CUUAUUUAAGACAACACCACACAGCUCAGGAAUUUUAAUGAUUUUCUGAUGUGUUUUCCUUUAUGAAGUCUCUUUCUUGGGUACAGUUGUGCAGCCAAGCAGAAAACAGCCCGGGAAGGAGGACUAAUGUGACCAGCAGGCUGCAGUGCAGGGGAAACAACACACAUCCUCAAAAGAGCAAGGGAAAAAAACAUAAUUUCUUUUGGGUUGGAAUACUAGCUGUCCAACAGCAGAGAUUCGAUGACUGCAUUGCUCUUCUCUGAGCUUGGGGAUCACUGCAUAUCCCUUUCAGUCUCACAGAACAUGAGACAAAAACUUGUGAUUCUUACUUGAUCAUGAGGGACACUGAACUCAUGGGCAGACCUAUGAAUCCUGACUACCCAUGACUGACUACUAGAAGACCGUACAGACUGCAUGAGGUUUUGUAUGUAACAUUUACCCUCUGAAAUUCUGUUACUCACUGGCAGCUGUUGAACAGCAAAAAAAAU
RNAcentral lists this long non-coding RNA (488 nucleotides) under Numida meleagris (helmeted guineafowl). Its description in RNAcentral is "lncRNA (ENSNMEG00000007292.1)". Lineage: Eukaryota; Metazoa; Chordata; Aves; Galliformes; Numididae. The record is from RNAcentral.